UAGGGAAUCUUCCACAAUGGGCAAAGCCUGAUGGAGCAACGCCGCGUGUGUGAUGAAGGCUUUCGGUCGUAAAGCACUGUUGUAUGGGAAGAACAGCUAGAAUAGGAAAUGAUUUUAGUUUGACGGUACCAUACCAGAAAGGGACGGCUAAAUACGUGCCAG
Molecule: ribosomal RNA, 162 nt
Filed under: uncultured bacterium
Lineage: Bacteria
Description: partial 16S rRNA
Rfam family: Bacterial small subunit ribosomal RNA
Source: RNAcentral